GAUGAACGCUGGCGGCGUGCCUAAUACAUGCAAGUCGAGCGAACAGAUGAGGAGCUUGCUCCUCUGACGUUAGCGGCGGACGGGUGAGUAACACGUGGAUAACCUACCUAUACGACUGGGAUAACUUCGGGAAACCGGAGCUAAUACCGGAUAAUAUAUUGAACCGCAUGGUUCAAUAGUGAAAGACGGUUUUGCUGUCACUUAUAGAUGGAUCCGCGCCGCAUUAGCUAGUUGGUAAGGUAACGGCUUACCAAGGCAACGAUGCGUAGCCGACCUGAGAGGGUGAUCGGCCACACUGGAACGGAGACACGGUCCAGACUCCUACGGGAGGCAGCAGUAGGGAAUCUUCCGCAAUGGGCGAAAGCCUGACGGAGCAACGCCGCGUGAGUGAUGAAGGUCUUCGGAUCGUAAAACUCUGUUAUUAGGGAAGAACAAAUGUGUAAGUAACUAUGCACGUCUUGACGGUACCUAAACAGAAAGCCACGGCUAACUACGUG
Molecule: ribosomal RNA, 497 nt
Filed under: uncultured bacterium
Lineage: Bacteria
Description: partial 16S ribosomal RNA
Rfam family: Bacterial small subunit ribosomal RNA
Source: RNAcentral